This 443-nucleotide ribosomal RNA is filed under the name uncultured bacterium. Its description in RNAcentral is "partial 16S ribosomal RNA". It matches the Rfam family "Bacterial small subunit ribosomal RNA", at positions 338 to 795 of the family's 1533-position model. The record is from RNAcentral.
CCUACGGGAGGCUGCAGUGGGGAAUAUUGGGCAAUGGGCGCAAGCCUGACCCAGCAACGCCGCGUGAAGGAAGAAGUCUUUCGGGUUGUAAACUUCUUUUCUCAGGGACGAAGCAAGUGACGGUACCUGAGGAAUAAGCCACUGCUAACUACGGGCCAGCAGCCGCGGUAAUACGUAGGUGGCAAGCGUUAUCCGGAUUUACUGGGUGUAAAGGGCGUGUAGGCGGGGAAGCAAGUCAGAUGUGAAAACCAUGGGCUCAACCGGUGGCCUGCAUUUGAAACUGUGUUUCGUGAGGACUGGAGAGGCAGACGGAAUUCCUAGUGUAGCGGUGAAAUGCGGAGAUAUUAGGAGGAACACCAGUGGCGAAGGCGGGCUGCUGGACGGCAACUGACGGUGAGGCGCGAAAGCGUGGGGAGCAAACAGGAUUAGAUACCCGGGUAGUC